GCAGUGGUGGUUCAGUGGUAGAAUUCUUGCCUUCCACACGGGAGACCCAGGUUCAAUUCCCAGUCGAUGCA
Loxodonta africana (African savanna elephant) is the source of this 71-nucleotide transfer RNA. It matches the Rfam family "tRNA". Rfam says of the family: Transfer RNA (tRNA) molecules are approximately 80 nucleotides in length. Their secondary structure includes four short double-helical elements and three loops (D, anti-codon, and T loops). Lineage: Eukaryota; Metazoa; Chordata; Mammalia; Proboscidea; Elephantidae. The record is from Rfam.